GGAGGAAGAGGAGGGUUAAAAGGCUCUCUGAUGCCAGUUCUGCUGCAGAGUGGAACCCACCAGCACCUGUUCUCCUCCUCCGUUUUGCUGCCGUGAAGCGACGUAAAGCUGGAGCCGGCGGUGCACUGCCCCCCGCCGCCGCCGCCGGAGCAGCAGCAGCCUGAACCGGAGCAGCAGCUCCAGUGGAGCGGCGCGGAGCGGCAACCUCCGCCUUGGACCGACGAACUGGCUGAGAUGUCCCGACACAUCUACACCCGACACGGGAUGGCAGACGGACUGCAGAAGCCUGUGUUCCAGGGCAACAGAGGAACCUACUCCAGGCGCAGCCGCCUGAAGAGGUCCGAUGGCAGCACCACAUCCACGAGCUUCAUCCUCAGACAGGGCUCAGCUGAUUCCUACACAAGCCGACCGUCUGACUCAGAUGUGUCCCUGGAGGAGGAGAAGGAGGGCGGCCGACAGGAGAGGGAGCAGCAGGCCACUGUCCAGCUUGAGAGGGCAAAGAGUAAAGCAGUGGCAUUUGCCGUGAGGACCAAUGUCAGCUACUGCGGAGCGCUGGAAGAGGACGUUCCUGUCCCCGGCACCGCCGUCUCUUUUGACGCCAAGGACUUCCUCCACAUCAAAGAGAAGUACAACAACGACUGGUGGAUCGGCCGCCUGGUGAAAGAAGGCUGCGACAUCGGCUUCAUUCCCAGCCCGCUGAAGCUGGAAAACGUCCGGCUGCAGCAGGAGCAGAAGAGAGGACGCUUCCACAGCAGCAAAUCCAGUGCAAAUUCCUCCUCCAGUCUGGGAGAAAUGGUGUCAGGCACGUUCAAACCAAACCCAAACUCAGCAGGAAAGCAAAAACAAAAAGUGGCUGAGCACGUCCCCCCGUAUGACGUGGUUCCGUCCAUGAGGCCGGUGGUCCUGGUAGGUCCAUCCCUGAAAGGCUACGAGGUGACGGAUAUGAUGCAGAAAGCGCUGUUUGACUUCCUGAAGCACAGGUUCGAUGGAAGGAUAUCCAUCACGAGGGUCACCGCUGAUAUAUCGUUGGCCAAGAGGUCAGUACUUAACAACCCCAGUAAACGGGCCAUCAUUGAGAGGUCCAACACCCGCUCCAGCCUCGCUGAGGUCCAGUGUGAAAUAGAAAGGAUCUUUGAGUUGGCCAGAUCUCUACAGCUAGUGGUGUUGGAUGCAGACACAAUAAAUCACCCAGCACAGCUUAUCAAGACCUCAUUAGCUCCCAUUAUUGUCCAUGUUAAGGUGUCAUCUCCUAAGGUCUUGCAGCGUCUGAUCAAAUCGCGAGGGAAGUCCCAAAGCAAACACUUGAACGUGCAGCUUGUUGCAGCAGAAAAACUAGCCCAGUGUCCGUCUGAGAUGUUUGACAUUAUUUUGGACGAGAACCAGCUUGAAGAUGCCUGCGAACACCUGGCAGAAUACCUGGAAGCGUACUGGCGCGCUACCCACACUUCACUUAGCACGCCGCUCAACCCCCUGCUGGGACGCAAUCUGGGCUCCACUGCUCUCUCCCCGUAUCCGGCUGCCAUCCAGGCCCAAAAGAAUCGAAACAGCAACCACACGACUACUGACCAUUCCCCCGUCGAGCGCCGCAAUCUGAUGCCCGCGGACGAGAACUAUCACAACGAGCGGGCCCGGAAGAAUCGCAACCGCCUGUCCUCGGGCUCACAGCACAGCAGGGACCACUCUCCGCUGAUGGAGGAGGACUACCAAGACCCCUACCAGGACUCUUACAAGCCUCACCGCAAUCGCGGAUCCCCCGGAGGCUUCAGCCAGGACUGCGCCAGGCACAGGCUGUGAGCCGAUACUCGUCUGCGCCGAACACAAUCGCUGAGGCGGCGUCGUGAUGAAUCUACUUAAGUCAUGUGAACUAGAACGAUCUCUUAUGUCUGUGUAGUACCUCAUAUCCCGUUUUGACCUUGGACAUUUAUAACCUAAUAUUUAAAAAAAGAAAAACUGUCCUUGCUAUGAUGUGAAUAUGAGGGUGGACAUGUAGCACAAGAACUAUGUUUUAAACAAAGGGUGGAAGUUUAGCUUGUUUUAAUGUGUCACACAAGUAGCUUGUAAGUUAAAUCAACUAGCAAGUGAAAGUGUGGGGUCUUCUACACUUUCCCUGCCAUCUCAGCUGUCCCUGUAGCAUGUAGCGUUUUGUUAUCUUACCCGUCUGGAUAAUUUGGGGUGUAUUAUUUAAUAUACAGUGCCUUUCAAGAGUAUUCACAGCUGAAAUUUUAAUUGGGAUGAAACAUGGUGGUGGCGGCAUAUACCUGUGGUGAUACAGUAUUGGGGGGAUAAAGAACUAUUGGAGUAUGCAGAAAGUAUGUUAGGUGUCUAGGGUUAAAAUGGUCCUGUCAAAGUCUACGUGUUUCAAUAGGCCAAAAUGUCAUCCUCCUGAUCUGGUACAUUCACCUUAAAAAUUUUAAGCUGCAAUCAAAACAAAAUGUAAACGCAUGUAUCAUUCUCCUUUCAUUUCAAAUGAUCUGGUACUUUAUGUUGGGGUUCCACAUAGCACCUACAUGUAAUACAUUAAAGAGUGAGGUGGUAUCAUGAAUGCUUUAGUAAGGCACUGUAGCUGUAGUGCUAAAUGCUAUAAUGUGCAUUUAGUUUAGUUUAGUAAGGCAUGGUUAUGAAAAUACAAGAGUGGAUUUUAGUUUGUGACAUACGGAGAGCUUUCAUGUGUAAAUGUUGUCAAAAAUGACAGAAGAGAAACUUAAAAUUCAACUUUUGGUAAAUCUGAUUACAUUCCAUUGGUUUAAUUCAAGGUACUGCAUAUAACUCAGAUCAAGAUUUCUUUUUUAAAGGUUUUAUAAUCACUGUAAAAUGUUCAGAAGCUGAUCCUGGCCGUCUUCUUUGUUUUCAGGUGUAACUUUUUACAUUAUUUUAACUUCAGUUAGAAAAUAGAAUGAAAAUAGAAAACUACAGAAUAAAGGAAGGACUUUUCUAUACCCAUUGGAGCUCUUGCUAGCCAAUACUAACAGUUACAUGUAACUGUCUUUAGCCGAACAGGAAAAAAAAAUUUCUGCAGGGCAUUUGAUAGAGGUGGUAGACCUGAAUUCAAUAAAAUAUGAACUGCCCGCUAGUCUUUAUCUGAUUUUUACCAAACAAAAAGCAAACUAAAAGAACAUGCUAUUUGUUGAUGUGUUUACAAUCUGAAAAAUUACUUUUUUAAAAUUUUUAUGUGCCAUAGGAAUGAAGAAAAAUUUGUUUUUCAGUAUCUGAUCUCCUUAAAGCAAGCAAAAAUCCAGGAAUUUGUUCUUGUAUCUUGAAUAAAAUACAUUCAACCAUUUA
Molecule: RNA transcript, 3279 nt
Organism: Xiphophorus hellerii (green swordtail)
Lineage: Eukaryota; Metazoa; Chordata; Actinopteri; Cyprinodontiformes; Poeciliidae
Gene: cacnb4a
Gene name: calcium channel, voltage-dependent, beta 4a subunit
Exons: 15
Source: RefSeq, a predicted model, not a curated record